Molecule: ribosomal RNA, 441 nt
Filed under: uncultured bacterium
Lineage: Bacteria
Description: partial 16S ribosomal RNA
Rfam family: Bacterial small subunit ribosomal RNA
Source: RNAcentral
CCUACGGGAGGCAGCAGUGGGGAAUAUUGCACAAUGGGCGAAAGCCUGAUGCAGCAACGCCGCGUGAAGGAAGACGGUUUUCGGAUUGUAAACUUCUGGUCAUAGGGAAGAAAAAUGAAGGGAACGAAGGAGCAAGCGAAGGCUAACUACGUGCCAGCAGCCGCGGUAAGACGUAGGUGGCAAGCGUGGUCCGGAAUUACUGGGUGGAAAGGGAGCGGAGGCGGGAAGCCACGUCAGCUGUGAAAACUACGGGCUUAACCUGUAGACUGCAGUUGAAACUGGCUUUCUUGAGUGAAGUAGAGGUUGUCGGACUUCCCAGUGUAGCGGUGAAAUGCGUAGAUAUUCGGAGGAACACCGGUGGCGAAGGCGGCCCACUGGGCUUUAACUGACGCUGAGGCUCGAAAGUGUGGGGAGCAAACAGGAUUAGAUACCCUUGUAGUC